GUCGAGAAUCUUCCGCAAUGGGCGAAAGCCUGACGGAGCGACGCCGCGUGGAGGACGAAGGCCUUCGGGUUGUAAACUCCUGUCACGGGUUAAGAAUGGCGUAGUGUUAACAGCGCUACGAUUGACGUAAGCCCGAGAGGAAGCACUGGCUAACUCUGUGCCAGCAGCCGCGGUAAUACAGAGAGUGCAAACGUUGUUCGGAAUUACUGGGCUUAAAGCGCACGUAGGCGGCGCCGCAAGUGUUGGGUGAAAUCCCACGGCUUACCCGUGGAACUGCCCAGCAGACUGUGGUGCUAGAGGAUGGUAGGGGAGAGCGGAACUCCUGGUGGAGCGGUGAAAUGCGUAGAUAUCAGGAGGAACACCGGUGGCGAAGGCGGCUCUCUGGUCCAUUUCUGACGCUGAGGUGCGAAAGCUAGGGGAGCAAACGGGAUUAGAAACCCCAGUAGUCC
RNAcentral lists this ribosomal RNA (449 nucleotides) under uncultured bacterium. RNAcentral's name for it is "bacterial SSU rRNA". It matches the Rfam family "Bacterial small subunit ribosomal RNA", at positions 354 to 796 of the family's 1533-position model. The record is from RNAcentral.